GAAUUUGCCUGGCGGCACUAGCGCGGUGGUCCCACCUGACCCCAUGCCGAACUCAGAAGUGAAACGCCGUAGCGCCGAUGGUAGUGUGGGGUCUCCCCAUGUGAGAGUAGGGAACUGCCAGGCA
Molecule: ribosomal RNA, 124 nt
Filed under: Klebsiella pneumoniae subsp. pneumoniae Ecl8
Lineage: Bacteria; Pseudomonadati; Pseudomonadota; Gammaproteobacteria; Enterobacterales; Enterobacteriaceae
Source: RNAcentral